GAUGAACGCUGGCGGCGUGCCUAAUACAUGCAAGUCGAGCGAACAGACGAGGAGCUUGCUCCUCUGACGUUAGCGGCGGACGGGUGAGUAACACGUGGAUAACCUACCUAUAAGACUGGGAUAACUUCGGGAAACCGGAGCUAAUACCGGAUAAUAUAUUGAACCGCAUGGUUCAAUAGUGAAAGACGGUUUUGCUGUCACUUAUAGAUGGAUCCGCGCCGCAUUAGCUAGUUGGUAAGGUAACGGCUUACCAAGGCGACGAUGCGUAGCCGACCUGAGAGGGUGAUCGGCCACACUGGAACUGAGACACGGUCCAGACUCCUACGGGAGGCAGCAGUAGGGAAUCUUCCGCAAAGGGCGAAAGCCUGACGGAGCAACGCCGCGUGAGUGAUGAAGGUCUUCGGAUCGUAAAACUCUGUUAGUAGGGAAGAACAAAUGUGUGAGUAACUAUGCACGUCUUGACGGUACCUAAUCAGAAAGCCACGGCUAACUACGUG
RNAcentral lists this ribosomal RNA (497 nucleotides) under uncultured bacterium. Its description in RNAcentral is "partial 16S ribosomal RNA". It matches the Rfam family "Bacterial small subunit ribosomal RNA", at positions 28 to 507 of the family's 1533-position model. The record is from RNAcentral.